Molecule: non-coding RNA, 1298 nt
Organism: Vigna umbellata (rice bean)
Lineage: Eukaryota; Viridiplantae; Streptophyta; Magnoliopsida; Fabales; Fabaceae
Source: RefSeq, a predicted model, not a curated record
AGUUCAGCAAUGUUUAUUUAUGCAUUCAAAUACUUUGUGUAUGCCAGAGUACUUAAAUGCAUACACAAGCAAUUGAAAAGUAAACAUAUUAAUAUAAAGCUGAGAUUUAGCUGAACUUUGCCAUUUUUAUUUCAUGUCUCCUUAUGUAUGCAUUCAAAUACUCGUUUUCGGCCUGUUGAUUAAAUUCCAGAUUUAUCUUUUCCUCAGGAAUUUAUUUAAUGAAGUAUACACCAUUUAGUUUUUACCUGGAAAUUAAAAUUUAGUUGUUGAAACAGUUUUGUUAGCAUGUUAAUUUGAAACUAGUUUACUUCCAAUCUAUUUCGGUUGAGCUUAAGUUAUUUAGUUCAUGUAUGAUACAGGCGAAUCACCUGCCCACUGGGAAAAGGUGCUUGAGGGGAUUCUCAACUGAGGUCUUCUGGUGAUGCACCAGUUGGUACUAUGGGAUGUGAAGAAAGCUUGUGAUACACUACCGUCCUAAGGUCUGAAUAUUAGUUUAUCUGUGAUGAAAUUUUUAAAAGAUUUAUUUAUUGGUUUCUGUGUUGUUGCUUUCGAGGGAAAGUGAUUGCUAAAUAUACAUUUUUGAAUAGAUAUGGCUUGCUAAACAACUUUUUGGGUAGAAAAAGACAACAUGGUGAAUGCUUUCUAUUUGACAAUCCAGUAGUCAUUCAUCAUCAACCAGCAUAGCAAUUACUCAUUUCAAUUAAUAGAUAUUGAUGAUGAUGAUGAUGAUGAGUUGAUGACCAAACUAGUUAGUCAUCUAUGUAAUCUUGUAUUGAAUUGAUUGGUUGGCUUCUCAUACUUCUAGGGUCCUAUUUGUCAGAUAAGUUUCUCCUUCUCAUAUUUUUGCUGUGAUUACAGGGAUAUUGUAAUCCCUUUUACUUCUAUAUUUUGUAUGAAGCAUGAUGUGAAUAAGUUUACGCAUAUCAAAAUUUCUUUGUGUAGGAGAGAAGAUUUGCUGUCCUGGUAUCUUCUCUUUUAUCUAGCCAAACAAAGGAUCAUGUUACUCAUGGAGCAAUUCAACGCCUUCUUCAAAGUGAUCUGCUUACAGCUGAAGCUAUCAAUAAUGUGAUGAAGAGACUGUCAAGAAGUUGAUCUACCCUGUUGGGUUUUAUACAAGAAAAGCCACUAACUUGAAAAAAAUUGCAAAUAUUUGUCUCAUGAAGUCAAUGGGACACACAAGCUCAAUUGACCAAACCCCCUACUGUUACUUUCCCGCAUCGGUCCUAAGAUGGCUCAUUUGGUAUGUGUAACCGCUUCCUCCGAUUCAAGCAACAUGUUUCAUUAUAUCUAUGAUUAAU